UACGUAGGGGGCGAGCGUUGUCCGGGAAUCAUUGGGCGUAAAGCGCGUGUAGGCGGCCCGGUAAGUCCGCUGUGAAAGUCCAGGGCUCAACCCUGGGAUGCCGGUGGAUACUGUCGGGCUCGAGUCCGGAAGAGGCGAGUGGAAUUCCUGGUGUAGCGGUGAAAUGCGCAGAUAUCAGGAGGAACACCAAUGGCGAAGGCAGCUCGCUGGGACGGACUGACGCUGAGACGCGAAAGCGUGGGGAGCGAACAGG
Molecule: ribosomal RNA, 253 nt
Filed under: uncultured bacterium
Lineage: Bacteria
Description: partial 16S ribosomal RNA
Rfam family: Bacterial small subunit ribosomal RNA
Source: RNAcentral